This 329-nucleotide long non-coding RNA is filed under the name Pelobates cultripes (western spadefoot toad). Lineage: Eukaryota; Metazoa; Chordata; Amphibia; Anura; Pelobatidae. The record is from RNAcentral.
CAGACAGUAAGAUAGUGCUUGGAUACAUCUACAACCAAACCAAACAAUUUUACGUGUACGUCAGUAAUCGAGUAGAAUGUAUCAGAAGGUUCUCUCUGCCAAAGCAAUGGCAUUAUAUUCCCACGGACCUUAAUCCUGCUGAUUAUGGGACAAGACCUAUAUCCCCAGCAGCUCUCCAUGGCUGCUUGUGGCUGACGCCUCCAAGGUUUCUUCACGAAAACCCCUACUCAAUUUCCACUGACGUUACCUAUGAAUUGGUACUUCUUCUCCCAAAUGAGUGACUUAUGCAAGAGUACCAGGCAAUACGGUGCUAUGGCGGGGAGAACGCC